GCGGACGGGUGAGUAACACGUGGGCAACCUGCCUUACAGAGGGGGAUAGCCUUCCGAAAGGAAGAUUAAUACCGCAUAUUAUGAUUUUUCUGCAUGGGAAAGUCAUGAAAGGAGCAAUCCGCUGUAAGAUGGGCCCGCGGCGCAUUAGCUAGUUGGUGGGGUAACGGCCCACCAAGCCGACGAUCAGUAGCCGACCUGAGAGGGUGACCGGCCACAUUGGGACUGAGACACGGCCCAAACUCCUACGGGAGGCAGCAUG
RNAcentral lists this ribosomal RNA (259 nucleotides) under uncultured bacterium. Its description in RNAcentral is "partial 16S ribosomal RNA". It matches the Rfam family "Bacterial small subunit ribosomal RNA", at positions 98 to 353 of the family's 1533-position model. The record is from RNAcentral.